This 256-nucleotide long non-coding RNA is filed under the name Volvox carteri. RNAcentral's name for it is "long non-coding RNA (VCAR_LNC003903)". The record is from RNAcentral. Lineage: Eukaryota; Viridiplantae; Chlorophyta; Chlorophyceae; Chlamydomonadales; Volvocaceae.
UGUACGGUGCCGAGUGGGUGUGUGCGGUGCCGUGCUGGCGCAGCCACUGCUCCAGUCGCUUGGCGACGUACUCACCACCGUUGUCGCUGUGCAGUGUGUGCACCCCUGCAUGGUUCGGGUGGCGGGCCUCCAGCUGUGUCACCAUGUCCUGCAGCACUUCGCCCAUUGGCUCUUGCUGGCCAGCAUGCGGACGGCGGACAGACCAGUGGCACCAUCCAGCAGCGUCAGCAAGUAGCGUGCCCCCCCUCGGCCCGUG